RNAcentral lists this ribosomal RNA (407 nucleotides) under uncultured bacterium. Its description in RNAcentral is "partial 16S ribosomal RNA". It matches the Rfam family "Bacterial small subunit ribosomal RNA", at positions 30 to 526 of the family's 1533-position model. The record is from RNAcentral.
AUUGAACGCUGGCGGGAUGCCUUACACAUGCAAGUCGAACGGAGCGGCGGACGGGUGAGUAAUGUAUAGGAACGUGCCCAGUAGCGGGGGAUAACGACGCGAAAGCGUCGCUAAUACCGCAUACUAUUGGAUCGGCCGAUGUCGGAUUAGCUAGUUGGUGGGGUAACGGCCUACCAAGGCGACGAUCCGUAGCUGGUCUGAGAGGAUGACCAGUCACACUGGAACUGAGACACGGUCCAGACUCCUACGGGAGGCAGCAGUGGGGAAUAUUGGACAAUGGGCGAAAGCCUGAUCCAGCCAUGCCGCGUGUGGGAAGAAGGUCUUCGGAUUGUAAAGCACUUUAAGUGGGGAGGCGUUACCAACAGAAUAAGCACCGGCUAACUUCGGGCCAGCAGCCGCGGUAAUAC